Odocoileus virginianus texanus is the source of this 710-nucleotide non-coding RNA. The record is from RefSeq and is a predicted model, not a curated record. NCBI's taxonomy places the organism in Eukaryota, Metazoa, Chordata, Mammalia, Artiodactyla, Cervidae.
GAGGAAGGACAUAGCCCCUGCCCUCAGGGAUUUGCAGUCCAGGGGAAGAGAUGUAGAUGAGUGAACAGACAACUCAAGUAUAGGAUGAUGGUUUCAGGGUGGUGGGACGAUGGCAUGAGGGAUGACAGUAAUGACAGAACCACAUGUCUCCUGUGCAAUUUCCUCUCUCAGAAUCAAGACACCAGACAGCAGUUCUGACAGGAAGAGCACACAGUAUUCACUCAUUCAACAAAUAUUUAGUGAGCACGGAUCACAUGCCUAUCAUUGGAAUGAGAAGGCAGGAGGAGUUUCAAAGCAGAUGCUGCUGCCCCAGGAAGUCAUCAUGGAUCCAAUUUCCUUCUCAUGCUCUCCUACACCUGGAUCAUUGCUUCAUGGUCACAGGAUGCCUGCUCCACCUCCAGGCCUCAAGUUCAUGUUCUAGACAGGAAGAAGGAGAGAGGUGCAAGGGCAAAAGGCAUAGACCAGGAUGGGUGAAAAGGAACACCUCAUAAAGCUGUGAUACAGACUGGUGUGGCUGCCAAGGCCCUUGCUCCAUGACCUGCAUUAAAGUCUUCAACAUGAUAAGGACUAUUCAGAAUUUUGAACUGGCUCCAUGAACACACCAUCUAUGACAGUCUCCAGAGAAGCCCAGCUAGCGUUUCCCUUGUUAUCUGAGGACCGAGUGAACAUUCACUGAAGACCCGAUGCCUAUCUGUAUCCACAACCGCAUU